GAUGAACGCUGGCGGCGUGCUUAACACAUGCAAGCUGAACGGAUAGGCCUUGCUUUUGUGGGGUGCUCGAGUGGCUAACGGGUGAGUAACACGCGUGUAACCUGCCCUUGACUUUGGGAUAACUUCCGGAACCUGGGGUUCCUACCGGAUAGGUGCUCCUGCUGCCUGGUGGGGGUUGGAAAGUUUCCGCGGUUGGGGAUGGAUUCGCGGCGUAUCAGAUUGUAGGUGGGGCCGUGGCUUAUUAACGCUUCGGCGGGUAGCCGGCCCGAGAGGGUGACUGGCCAGAUAGGGACUGAGAUACGGCCCAGACUGCUACGGGAGGCAGCAAGGGGGAAGGAAGCACAAUGGGCGGAAGCAUGAUGCAGCAACGCCGCGUGCAGGAUGACGGACGGCGGGUUUUAAACCACUGUCGCCAGUGACGAAGAGUGAAUGACGGUAAUGGGUAGAGAAGCACCGGCUAACUACGUG
Molecule: ribosomal RNA, 468 nt
Filed under: uncultured bacterium
Lineage: Bacteria
Description: partial 16S ribosomal RNA
Rfam family: Bacterial small subunit ribosomal RNA
Source: RNAcentral